CCUACGGGUGACAGCAGUGAGGAAUAUUGGUCAAUGGGCGCGAGCCUGAACCAGCCAAGUAGCGUGAAGGAUGACGGCCCUACGGGUUGUAAACUUCUUUUAUAAAGGAAUAAAGUGAGGCACGUGGGCCUUUUUGUAUGGACGUUAUGAAUAAGGAUAGGCUAACACCGUGCCAGCAGCCGCGGUAAUACGGAGGAUCAGAGCGUUAUCCGGAUUUAUUGGGGUUAAAGGGAGCGUAGAUGGGUUGUUAAGUCAGUUGUGAAAGUUUGCGGCUCAACCGUAAAAUUGCACUUGAUACUGGCAGUCUUGAGUACAGUUGAGGUAGGCGGAAUUCGUGGUGUAGCGGUG
Molecule: ribosomal RNA, 348 nt
Filed under: uncultured bacterium
Lineage: Bacteria
Description: partial 16S ribosomal RNA
Rfam family: Bacterial small subunit ribosomal RNA
Source: RNAcentral